RNAcentral lists this ribosomal RNA (112 nucleotides) under uncultured bacterium. Its description in RNAcentral is "partial 16S ribosomal RNA". It matches the Rfam family "Bacterial small subunit ribosomal RNA", at positions 1373 to 1482 of the family's 1533-position model. The record is from RNAcentral.
CCCGGGCCUUGUACACACCGCCCGUCACACCACGAAAGCUGGCUGAACCAGAAGCCGGUGACCCAACCCGCAAGGGAGGGAGCCGUCCAAGGUUUGGUCGGUGAUUGGGGUG